UCCCUGGAGGAGUAGUGGUUAGGCAUUGGCGCGCUCACCGCCACAGCCUGGGUUCGAUUCCCGGCCAGGGAA
RNAcentral lists this transfer RNA (72 nucleotides) under Pangasianodon gigas (Mekong giant catfish). Its description in RNAcentral is "tRNA-Glu". The record is from RNAcentral. Lineage: Eukaryota; Metazoa; Chordata; Actinopteri; Siluriformes; Pangasiidae.